CCGAGGAGCAUGCCUGUUUUGUC
Molecule: ribosomal RNA, 23 nt
Filed under: Rhodonia placenta
Lineage: Eukaryota; Fungi; Basidiomycota; Agaricomycetes; Polyporales; Adustoporiaceae
Description: Postia placenta partial 5.8S ribosomal RNA
Source: RNAcentral